Molecule: long non-coding RNA, 1595 nt
Filed under: Gallus gallus (chicken)
Lineage: Eukaryota; Metazoa; Chordata; Aves; Galliformes; Phasianidae
Description: lncRNA (ENSGALG00010023625.1)
Source: RNAcentral
CGGAGGGCGAGAGCCACCUCUCCGCACCUGAGUGGGAAAUGGAGCUCGCCGGACCCCGAGGCCACCCUGUAAGCAGGGUAGUGCCGUUUCCCUGCCCCUCUUCCUCCCCCGGCCCCUCGGCAUCGUUGCCUGAUGGUGGCUUGUCAAUGCGACGGCCCCGUACUCGGGGUGUGUGUCCCAAGCUUUGGAGCCCUCUGUCCCUGAGCAGCCCGCCCGCCCUGUAACCAGGUGUGGGGAGGCUGCAGCGUUGCAGCCGGCUGCUUUAGCCGUCCAGCUGGUGGGAGUGACCCCUCCCUGUCCCGUCAGAGGGUGCAGGUUGAGGUGCUGUUUGUGUGUGGGGUGACCUCCCCGCUCGGUGGGUCGAGGUAGCUCCCUGGGCUUCCAAAGACGAGACGUUGGUGAUGUUCUGCUGCUGCCGGGCGGGCCAGCCUGUAACUCAGGCGUUGGCGGGAGCCUCGUGCUCCGCGGGGCUUCUUGAAGAGGGUGAGGUGUGGGGGUACCGUCCUGUAGGCAGGGCUGUGUGUGCCCCCCGUGUGUGCUUGGUGAGCUGCGUUCUGAGAGACCCCCUGUACUCAGGUGGGAAUGUGGCCCCGGCCUUUCAGAGGCGCGGGGCCGUGAGAUGCGGGGUGGGGCUUGCGCCCUCCCUGGAAUCGGGGCUGGGAUCCCGACUGCGGCCUUUGGCCGUGCCGCCCCGCUGCCUGGCUGCUGAGAGUUGCUCCUGCCGCUGGGGGGGAAACCGAGCUCUGUGGCUCCAGGGGUGUUGUCCACCCGCCUGUAAUCAGGGUCUGGGUGCGCGAGCGUUUGUGCUCUGCUGGCAGCCUGUGUGGGGUGACCGCCCCGCUAGCGGGGUGUGGGUCGAGGUGCCCCGGACUGGGAGAGAAGGAGCCUCCCUCGGCCGUAGGGAUGGGGGCUGCCCUGUAAGUCAGGGAGCAUCUGUGUCCCGGAGUCCCAGGCCCUUUUCAAUGGCGGCAGUGGCCGGGGGUCCCCUGUAAGCAGGGAAGCUGACUCUUUGGCUGCUGCUUUUUGUGUGCCCAGCCCCAUUUGCCCGGUCUGCCCGCCUCUGUGAUCCCCCGCAGCACUGGCUGGAAGUCCGCCGCGUGUCAGUGAGGAGCUGCUGCAGAAGGAAGAAGAAGAAGAAGCGGCGUGGGGAGCUGGGAGGCAGGAGCAAGCAAGAAGAGGAAGCGGAAGCGUGCAGAUGCGGGGGGGAAGGAGAGAGGCUCCCUGGGCAAAGCACCUGUCCCGUUAGCGGGGGCACAGUCACGUUUGAGUUGAGAGCUGCCGGCGCCUUUGGUGACCAGGCUGGCGUUGUGCUGGGCGACCUCCCCGUAAGCGGGGCUCGGGUCUUUGCUGUAGUUGGCCUUUUGCCUUGCUGCUCCUUUGGCUGCCUGGGGAGCGUGGCCCCCUGUAACGGAGGGCGAGAGCCACCUCUCCGCACCUGAGUGGGAAAUGGAGCUCGCCGGACCCCGAGGCCACCCUGUAAGCAGGGUAGUGCCGUUUCCCUGCCCCUCUUCCUCCCCCGGCCCCUCGGCAUCGUUGCCUGAUGGUGGCUUGUCAACGCGACGGCCCCGUACUCGGGGUGCGUGUCCCAAGCUUUG